This 73-nucleotide transfer RNA is filed under the name Hemigymnus melapterus. RNAcentral describes it as "tRNA-Asp". It matches the Rfam family "tRNA". Rfam says of the family: Transfer RNA (tRNA) molecules are approximately 80 nucleotides in length. Their secondary structure includes four short double-helical elements and three loops (D, anti-codon, and T loops). Lineage: Eukaryota; Metazoa; Chordata; Actinopteri; Labriformes; Labridae. The record is from RNAcentral.
AAGAAACUAGUAAAACAGAUUAUUACACAGCCUUGUCGAGGCUGAAUUGUGGGUUAAAGCCCCGCGUAUCUUG